This is a non-coding RNA of Providencia burhodogranariea DSM 19968, 28 nucleotides long. The record is from Rfam. NCBI's taxonomy places the organism in Bacteria, Pseudomonadati, Pseudomonadota, Gammaproteobacteria, Enterobacterales, Morganellaceae.
GUUCACUGACGCAUAGGCAGCUUAGAAA